UACGUAGGUGGCGAGCGUUGUCCGGAUUUACUGGGCGUAAAGAGCGCGCAGGCGGUCGUACAAGUCGCGUGUGAAAGCCCCCGGCUCAACUGGGGAGGGUCACGCGAUACUGUUCGACUCGAAGGCAGGAGAGGGAAGUGGAAUUCCCGGUGUAGUGGUGAAAUGCGUAGAUAUCGGGAGGAACACCAGUGGCGAAGGCGACUUCCUGGCCUGUUCUUGACGCUGAGGUGCGAAAGCGUGGGGAGCAAACAGG
Molecule: ribosomal RNA, 253 nt
Filed under: uncultured bacterium
Lineage: Bacteria
Description: partial 16S ribosomal RNA
Rfam family: Bacterial small subunit ribosomal RNA
Source: RNAcentral